RNAcentral lists this long non-coding RNA (221 nucleotides) under Setaria italica (foxtail millet). RNAcentral's name for it is "long non-coding RNA (SITA_LNC004745)". The record is from RNAcentral. Lineage: Eukaryota; Viridiplantae; Streptophyta; Magnoliopsida; Poales; Poaceae.
UUCCACAAAGAUAGGCAGUCUGCAUGUUUAGUUGCCUUUUCCACACUUCAUAACGGAUCAUGAAAUUACCCACUUAAUGAAUUCGUGUAAAUAUGGCUUCCAGUGAUGCGCUGAGGGUGGGUGUAUAAGAUGGCUAAUUUUUGCAACUAGAUUCAGAGUUUUUGAUAUUUGAUUCGUAUAAUCCAAAAGCCUUUUAUUACACAGAACAUAUUACAUUCGGG